This 351-nucleotide long non-coding RNA is filed under the name Carica papaya (papaya). RNAcentral describes it as "long non-coding RNA (CPAP_LNC006469)". The record is from RNAcentral. Lineage: Eukaryota; Viridiplantae; Streptophyta; Magnoliopsida; Brassicales; Caricaceae.
UUAUCUAGUUAUUUUAGUUAUACACUGUCAGUAUGAAUGUAGUUUAAUUGAUUGGUAAAUGUGAUAUGAGAUAUUGGUAUGAGUUUGUUGGUUGCUUAUUGAUGAAAUUCUAUAUGUGAAAGACUUGCUGGUUACCCAGAAAAAGGGUGGACGAGCCGGUACAUAGGGAACCCUACUGUGAACGUUACUUCAAUCGGACAGGACUGGAAGUUCCUUACUGGAGAAGUUUAGGAGAUAUGAUUCACUCUCAUACUGGACGAGGUAUCGAGGCGAUGGAAUGAUUGGUGCUCAUUAUCGGAUAGGGUGUGGGGACGGCCGGUCAAUUACAAAAUUGGAGAUUGGAUUCACGAG